Long non-coding RNA from Artibeus jamaicensis (Jamaican fruit-eating bat), 3181 nucleotides. RefSeq lists it as uncharacterized. The record is from RefSeq and is a predicted model, not a curated record. Lineage: Eukaryota; Metazoa; Chordata; Mammalia; Chiroptera; Phyllostomidae. The transcript is spliced from 5 exons.
GAGGUGCGUUCGUGCCUGCCUUUCUUUGAGAAAGGGCUUUGAGAAAGCCCAAUUUAUAGUAAAUACGAAAUUGCUCAAAUGCAUUAGAAAUAAUUACUUUUAAAGAAGGCUUACUUUAAAGUUCAUCUCAAAAGCAAAAUUCUUUAGUUUACAUCUUCAGGUAAAAUUGUUUUGCUUUUGGGCAAAGUCUUUCAUACAACUUAUGAAGCAAGAGGCAAGUCAAGUACAAUCUUCAGAAAAAAUUGUCAGGUUCCUGUUACAAGUGAAAUCAUAUGGUACUUGUCUUUCACCACCUGGCUCAUUUAACUUAGCAUAAUACUCUCCAGUUCCAUCCAUGUUGUCACAAAAGAAAAAGUUUGUUUCCCUUCAGGCUCUCUGAAGAUAGCAGUAGAAACCAUUGUACUAAAGAGUAUCUCACAACUUUUGCUAUUCAACUAGAGUGUGGGCAGAAAGCCAAGGAACUUGUUCCUGCUGUGCGAAGGGUUUUUUUUAAUCCUCACCUGAGGACAUGCCCAUUGACUCUACAGAGAGAAAGGAAAGGAGAGAAAGAGAAAUAUUGAUCAGCUGCCUCCUGAUGCACCUCGACUGGGGUUUGAACCCGCAACCCAGACUUGACACAAUUGUGGAAACUCAACUCUGACAGGAUUGGCGUGUGAAGGAAAUUGACGAGGACAGAACAACUAAGAAACAAGGAGAAGAGGCGUGCCCAAGAAGGACAGUGCAGAGCUUCAAGGACAUGCCAGGAAUCAGCCUGCCGCACAGAGACAUCUCUGUAAAGAGUGACAGAACCAACUCCAUGCUGCCACCGAGGUGGGACAGCUCAAUUUGAAACAAACCAAGGCCGAUGCUGCAAUUCAACGUAUGAUGUUCAAGGAGAAACUUUGGAUAAGGACUCAAAAGACAGCUUUGCUGGUGUAACCAUGUUGCCAAAAAACUGUAUCUUUCACCCAGACUUUAUUAUUGAUAAUAAAUUUCUUUAUCACUGGCAAAAACAACCAAUCAGAAAUCACCAAGAGACCUUUUCUAGGUAGAUAGGGUUUUUAUACUGGGUGCUUUUACUAUUGUCAUUCUACUCAUAGACUUAGGAGAAAAAGGAAUCUGGGUAGUACUGAAGUUGAUGAGAAAAAAAUAAAAUAGUUGGGGUAAUGGACAAGGAAAAAAACCUAGUACAAAACUGUGAGCUGUUAUGAUGCAAGAAAAUGGCUGCAUGCAGAAGACAUGGGAAGUAGGCACUGCUUAAUAAAUACCACAGCUAGUUAGAGUGAAAGGCCACAUGUCCUGGAGUGCCAAUCCUCUUUACGAAGUGAAAAUUCCCUGGAGAGUUUGCCAAAAGCUAGAAUUUCACCUCAUUCAAAACUGCUUUCCUAACACAGAGAUCUUGAAAAGACACCUUCACCUGUCAUUCUUAGAAAUCAGGUUUUUUCCCCUUGCUGGACAUGCAUUAAUUGCUGAUGACAGCAGCGGACAUCUGACCACUGCACAAUCAUCACAUGUGUGUAAAUAUCUCCCAUUUCGUAUGUCAUCAUUAUCUCCCUGGUGGAUAUCCAUCACAUUUUAAAUUAUUCAGUGGCAACAGAUUUUGAACUAGUGUAAUCACAAUACCCAGUCUCAUAGUUAAGACAUGCUUAACAUGGAUUGCACUAGGUUACAUUUGACAGAGAUUGUCAGCAGGCCAGUCAAAAGAGAUGGGUUUUCCUCCACUCCCCAUCUUUCUCUGAAGGAAUCUAACAGACGAGCAUCAUUAAUUAAGCAGACAGUAAUUUCUAUCUUACACCAUUUCAUGUAAUAGAAUUAACAUGGUUUGGAAAACAAAAGUGAACUGGGUACAAAUACAGGCUCUUCCAUCAUGCACGCUGCCAUGAACAAUUUUGCACUUACUAUUAUUUAUCUUAAUGCAUGGUUUAUUUAUUUUGUUUUCUUCUUCCUCCUCUAAAAUAUAAACUCCCUAACAGUAGGGCUUUUUGACCAUAAAUGUACUUCAUAUGUAUUAUUACCUGAAUGAUACAAGAACUCACUCUCCAGAGAAUUUCCAGCUUGUUCCACCACUUGCAGAGACCAGUGGGAGCAUUAUGUUCGGAGGGGUAGAAAGAUGCACCCCAAAGAUACUGGUUAUAUGGCAUCUCACCAACAGCAUCAAGCACAAUGCCUGAAUUUAUAGAGCUUGUAUGAUAAGUACAUUUAUCAAAGUAAAAUUUAAAAUAUGUACUAACAUUUUAUGGUCUAUAAAUUUUAUAUCUUUAAGGAAAUACAUCCUGACCUAUGAUUGAAAAAUUAGCUGACCGACACCUCAAGUUCAACAAAUAUUUUAUCAAGUAAUCGAAAAGUUUUCUUUCCCCACAACUACUCUUUGGUUAUAAAUAUAGGCUUUAAUUUCCAAAUUGUAAUUCAUUUAAUAAAUUACACCACUGUUGCAUACUGGCACUCAGUGAAAUAAUGUUGCCUCAAAUCAACCAACAAGCCAAGAAUCUUCUUUGACUCAUGCAUUCUUUAUUUACUCAACAAAUUUUUAUGGAGUGCCUACUAUGUCUUCAGUGUGACUCUAAGAAAUUUUAAACAAAUAGUAUUAAACAAGACAGGAAAAAAUUCUGUUCCCAUAAAAUUCCUCCUCUCAAAUAUUUAUUUCUAGGAAGAUAAGAUUUAAAUACAUGUAACACAAAUAUAAAAAUAAAUGUGUAAUAAAACGGUAGGUCAUUAAUUGUUGUAAGAAACAAUUCAAGUUUAAUGAUAUCAACUGUCAUAUAGAUAUUCUCUUAGAUUGAGUGGUUAAGAAAGGUCUCUCUGAGGAGGAUACAUUUGUAAAAAUACCUGAAUGAAGGAGGCAUGGAAUCACAAGAGCACCUGAGGAAAGAACACUCCAUCAGAGAAAGCAGCUGAUGCAAAGGCUCUGCAGGGGAAAUGCAUGUUUUGCUUGAUCAGGGUGCUCAAGAGACAAUGGAAGAGGAAGUGGUGGAGAUAGAAGUUGGAUGAAAUUGGUUCCUAAAGGCUAUUGUAAGAACAAUGGGUUGUAUUCUAAAAACAAUGCAGAAGUAUUUAAGAGAUUUAUAUUUUUAAUAAUAAACAAAUAAAAUUUUAAUUAAGUCAAAUUGAAGAAAACUUGAGUUUUCAUUGUGUAAUGUGAAUUCAUAGCUCUAAGUGCAGAAUUUGGAAGUAGUAAAUGUGAGUGCAUACAAAGAAGAAUAAA